AACUAAGUGAUUAUCCGCAGGGGUCACCAACAUGGUAUCCUGUGGGCAUGUUCUCAAAGUAGCUCAAAAAUGAUGGGACACUGUGAUUUCCAGGGGAGUAGUGUACAAAAGAUCAUUUGAAACUAAACACUUUAAGUGUUGCAUGUUGCUAUUUAACUGUUUCCAACCUUGAUCAUUGUGAGAAAUCCUUCACAUAAUCGUCUUCAUUUACAUUAUUGUUAUUAUUAUUGUAAUAUCAUUCAUUUUUGAGAAAUUAUUUUUUUGUGAAAAAUAGGCCAGUUUUGGCAUUUUUCCCCAUUACAACAGCAGACAAUAUUAACUUCAACCACCCCAUAAAGAUUGUAGGAUUUUUACCCAUGUAAUACUAAGUAUUGUCAAACUGAUCUGACUGUAAUUCAUAUCUUUAGUGAUCUAAGUGUUCAGGAAUGCAAAAAACAACACAAUUUAUUCCUUAUAUAAAUAUGUUUUAAUUGGCUGAUUAAUCGGUUAUCAGAAAUGUGUUCUGCCAAACAUUAAAAUCAACAUCGGUCUUUAUUUUAAUU
Hippocampus comes (tiger tail seahorse) is the source of this 542-nucleotide long non-coding RNA. RefSeq lists it as uncharacterized. The transcript has 2 exons. NCBI's taxonomy places the organism in Eukaryota, Metazoa, Chordata, Actinopteri, Syngnathiformes, Syngnathidae. The record is from RefSeq and is a predicted model, not a curated record.